UGCUAAACGUUGUACUGAUAUUAUGUGA
RNAcentral lists this small RNA (28 nucleotides) under Bombyx mori (domestic silkworm). RNAcentral's name for it is "ovarian small RNA-8605". The record is from RNAcentral. Lineage: Eukaryota; Metazoa; Arthropoda; Insecta; Lepidoptera; Bombycidae.